RNAcentral lists this transfer RNA (98 nucleotides) under Desulfobacula sp. RNAcentral describes it as "tRNA-Sec". It matches the Rfam family "Selenocysteine transfer RNA". Lineage: Bacteria; Pseudomonadati; Thermodesulfobacteriota; Desulfobacteria; Desulfobacterales; Desulfobacteraceae. The record is from RNAcentral. RNAcentral also lists the same sequence under 1 other name.
GGAAGUGCGCGGCUCACUGGUGGGGCCCUCGGACUUCAAAUCCGAUGUGAGGCGCUAACACCGUCUCGGGUGGGUUCGAUUCCCAUGCACUUCCGCCA